GCUGGGUGGCAGAGUGGUUAUGCAGCGGACUGCAACUCCGUGUACGCCGGUUCGAAAGCUGCAUCGCAGCG
This 71-nucleotide transfer RNA is filed under the name Pseudomonadales bacterium. RNAcentral describes it as "tRNA-Cys". The record is from RNAcentral. Lineage: Bacteria; Pseudomonadati; Pseudomonadota; Gammaproteobacteria; Pseudomonadales.